UACGAAGGGUGCAAGCGUUACUCGGAAUUACUGGGCGUAAAGCGUGCGUAGGUGGUUCGUUAAGUCUGAUGUGAAAGCCCUGGGCUCAACCUGGGAAUGGCAUUGGAUACUGGCGACCUAGAGUGCGGUAGAGGGGUGUGGAAUUCCCGGUGUAGCAGUGAAAUGCGUAGAUAUCUGAAGGAACAUCAGUGGCGAAAGCGACUUCCUGGACCAAUACUGACGCUCAUGUGCGAAAGCGUGGGGAGCAAACAGG
This 253-nucleotide ribosomal RNA is filed under the name uncultured bacterium. RNAcentral describes it as "partial 16S ribosomal RNA". It matches the Rfam family "Bacterial small subunit ribosomal RNA", at positions 524 to 776 of the family's 1533-position model. The record is from RNAcentral.